AUGUGGUUGGUGCUGCUGUGAUGGGUGUUCUAGCAUCUCUACCAAGUCUGCACUAAAUGAAGAGCCAAUAGUCACCGUGCAUGAUUAGCCUCAUAUGUUAUAAAAAUGAAGGGAACUGGUGCAUUUUGCGGGAAAGCCAUUAAUUUGGAUUCAGUUUAUACUAGAGAUGGACCGCAAAGGCAUGAUCCAGAGAGAUGGUGGAAUGCCAGGAAACCUGAUAUUUUUUGUAAUGAAGCUCUGUGGCGCAAAGUCAUGAUCCAGAGAGAUAGUGGAAUGGCCAGGAAACCUGAUAUUUUUUAUAAUGAAGCUCUGUGGCGCUACCGUACACCUAUUCGCGUUCAUGAAGUUCUUGCUUCGCGAAGCCAUUAUCUACUUGUAGUCUUAACUUGGCAGUCGUAAUCUGCCAAUGCAUAUGUUCUGAGCCUUUAAUGCAAUAAUUAUGCACAUGAAAUGUAGCUGACAAGUAGAAAAUGAGUUGUCUUACUCUGAAGUCUUAAAAAGUUGGGCCAUCAUCUGUAGGUCGAAAAAUUAGUAUUGAUGAUCAUUGAAUUGCUAUCAAAGAAGUUGUUGCG
Long non-coding RNA from Papaver somniferum (opium poppy), 572 nucleotides. RefSeq lists it as uncharacterized. The transcript has 3 exons. The record is from RefSeq and is a predicted model, not a curated record. NCBI's taxonomy places the organism in Eukaryota, Viridiplantae, Streptophyta, Magnoliopsida, Ranunculales, Papaveraceae.